CCUACGGUGGUCAGCAGUGGGGAAUAUUGCACAAUGGGGGGAACCCUGAUGCAGCAACGCCGCGUGGGUGAAGAAGUACUCCGGUAUGUAAAGCCCUGUCAGCAGGGACGAAAAUGACGGUACCUGACCAAGAAGCCCCGGCGACCUACGUGCCAGCAGCCGCGGUAAUACGUAGGGGGCAAGCGUUCUCCGGAUUUCCUGGGUGUAAAGGGAUCGUAGACGGCAAGGCAAGUCUGGAGGGAAAGCCCGUGGCCCAACCACGGGACUGCUUUGGAAACUGGGGUGCUGGAGUGCCGGAGGGGUAAGCGGAAUGCCUGGUGUAGCGGUGAAAUGCGUAGAUAUUAGGAGGAACACCGGUGGCGAAGGCGGCUUACUGGACUGUAACUGACGUUGAGGCGCGAAGGCGUGGGGAGCAAACAGGAUUAGAUACCCCGGUAGUC
Molecule: ribosomal RNA, 440 nt
Filed under: uncultured bacterium
Lineage: Bacteria
Description: partial 16S ribosomal RNA
Rfam family: Bacterial small subunit ribosomal RNA
Source: RNAcentral